CACCUGGGAAGGUCAUAUACUGAAAUUGAAGUUAGCACAGCCCCUUUGCAAGGAUGACAAGCAAAUCUGUGAAGCAUUUCAUAUUUUU
This 88-nucleotide small nuclear RNA is filed under the name Cebus imitator (Panamanian white-faced capuchin). The record is from RNAcentral. Lineage: Eukaryota; Metazoa; Chordata; Mammalia; Primates; Cebidae.